UACAGAGGUCCCAAGCGUUGUUCGGAUUCAUUGGGCGUAAAGGGUGCGUAGGUGGCGCCGUAAGUCGGGUGUGAAAUUUCGGAGCUUAACUCCGAAACUGCAUUCGAUACUGCGGUGCUUGAGGACUGGAGAGGAGACUGGAAUUUACGGUGUAGCGGUGAAAUGCGUAGAUAUCGUAAGGAAGACCAGUGGCGAAGGCGGGUCUCUGGACAGUUCCUGACGCUGAGGCACGAAGGCCAGGGGAGCAAACGGG
RNAcentral lists this ribosomal RNA (253 nucleotides) under uncultured bacterium. RNAcentral's name for it is "partial 16S ribosomal RNA". It matches the Rfam family "Bacterial small subunit ribosomal RNA", at positions 524 to 776 of the family's 1533-position model. The record is from RNAcentral.